RNAcentral lists this ribosomal RNA (656 nucleotides) under Cutibacterium acnes. Its description in RNAcentral is "bacterial SSU rRNA". It matches the Rfam family "Bacterial small subunit ribosomal RNA", at positions 471 to 1124 of the family's 1533-position model. Lineage: Bacteria; Bacillati; Actinomycetota; Actinomycetes; Propionibacteriales; Propionibacteriaceae. The record is from RNAcentral.
GACGGUAAUGGGUAAAGAAGCACCGGCUAACUACGUGCCAGCAGCCGCGGUGAUACGUAGGGUGCGAGCGUUGUCCGGAUUUAUUGGGCGUAAAGGGCUCGUAGGUGGUUGAUCGCGUCGGAAGUGUAAUCUUGGGGCUUAACCCUGAGCGUGCUUUCGAUACGGGUUGACUUGAGGAAGGUAGGGGAGAAUGGAAUUCCUGGUGGAGCGGUGGAAUGCGCAGAUAUCAGGAGGAACACCAGUGGCGAAGGCGGUUCUCUGGGCCUUUCCUGACGCUGAGGAGCGAAAGCGUGGGGAGCGAACAGGCUUAGAUACCCUGGUAGUCCACGCUGUAAACGGUGGGUACUAGGUGUGGGGUCCAUUCCACGGGUUCCGCGCCGUAGCUAACGCUUUAAGUACCCCGCCUGGGGAGUACGGCCGCAAGGCUAAAACUCAAAGGAAUUGACGGGGCCCCGCACAAGCGGCGGAGCAUGCGGAUUAAUUCGAUGCAACGCGUAGAACCUUACCUGGGUUUGACAUGGAUCGGGAGUGCUCAGAGAUGGGUGUGCCUCUUUUGGGGUCGGUUCACAGGUGGUGCAUGGCUGUCGUCAGCUCGUGUCGUGAGAUGUUGGUUAAGUCCCGCAACGAGCGCAACCCUUGUUCACUGUUGCCAGCAC